RNAcentral lists this non-coding RNA (29 nucleotides) under Mus musculus (house mouse). Lineage: Eukaryota; Metazoa; Chordata; Mammalia; Rodentia; Muridae. The record is from RNAcentral.
ACCAACCAUAAAAUUACUUCAUUGCUAGC